GACCGAGCGCAGCGGCCGGGCCGGCGGGCGGGCGGGCGGCUGCGAGCAUGGUCCUGGUGCUGCACCACAUCCUCAUCGCUGUUGUCCAAUUCCUCAGGCGGGGCCAGCAGGUCUUCCUCAAGCCGGACGAGCCGCCGCCGCCGCCGCAGCCAUGCGCCGACAGCCUGCAGACGCCUUGCUGAGUCUGGGCUCUGUCAUCGACAUUUCAG
RNAcentral lists this long non-coding RNA (209 nucleotides) under Homo sapiens (human). RNAcentral's name for it is "non-protein coding lnc-PDE2A-2:2". Lineage: Eukaryota; Metazoa; Chordata; Mammalia; Primates; Hominidae. The record is from RNAcentral.